GAACUGCGCACGGGGAGAAAUGGCAGUUGUAACUGCACAGCUCACUGCCCGAGGGCUCUGCUUCAGCAAACCACACUGUCAACAGAUGACUUCCCUUGGGUCCUCAGUUUUGAAAAGGGCAAAAAACUCCACUUUUUUUUUUAAGCAAAGGGCAAGAAGUUUAUCUGGGCUGUUUGCUUACACCCUUGUCAAACCUAAGAAGCCUGAAAAUCAGCUGACUAGCGGGCAGAAAAGGGCCACCGGCUCCUAGAAGCCGUAACCACGGGAAGGCGCUUUCUCUAAAGGACCGCGGUUAAAAUCCUUCGGUAGUCGCAUUCGUUCCUUGCCGUCGCUCAGUACCCAGCCAGAGCGGUCUCCACCGUGGCGCUGGGGCCGCUGCGGCAUCAGGGAUUUGAGAGAUCCAGAGCCCGCCCGCCGCACAAACCCACGCCUGCACGGCAGCCGCCGCCCCCUAGGCCGCGCCCCCCGUCAGCCCCUGCGGCGGGAAGCCCCGCCCCCCGCCCGAGCCAAUCACAAAGGGAGUGCGCGCAGGGGAGGGCUCUGUCUCCCCUGUGCCUGGCCCGGUCACGGCGAGACCGACUCCGUAGACUGGGUGGAGGGACAGGUGGACAAUUCAGUUUAAACCCCGAGAAGCUGCCCUAGAAGGCCGGCGGGAACAGCUGGUACCUGCUUUAGCGUCAGCGUCGCUGGGGACCCAACGCUGCUGGAAGAUUUAACUGCCUGCUCUCCAUACAGCGUUUUGGCCAAUGAAAUGUGAGUGGAACAGACAUGUCAUUUUGGAGCAAAAUCUUUAUGAGCCAUUGUUUGUUUCUACCGACUUGCUUGUUUUUCUCUGCCAAUAGGCCAGUAUGUUGCAGCUCACCCUCCAUGGACAUGAACACAGUGAGAAAUAAACCCUCACUGUAGUAAGCCACUUGAAUCUUGGGGCCGUUGGCAUAGUAUGCACUAGUGACGGCUGGCUGAUCCAGCACAUAAGAUCACCCUCCUAGCACACCUUUUACAUUCCUCUGUUGCAUUCCAUCAAGAAUGGUCAAAAAUUACAUCAAUGGUGGGAAAUUUUUUUUAAUAGUUCUUAGAAUAUAAGCUGCAUAGCUUUUUAGAAUAAAAAAGGAUGACGUGACAGAACCUCAGGUACAUGCUUUAGGACACUUGGUUAAGUAACAAGCAGUCUGUGUCUUUGAUGACCACCUCAAAAGGGUGGCAAACUUCACAGUGUAACUUGAUAACAGAUGUGGAGACAGACAAUUACAUCAUGGCCUGUGGUCUACAAAAGAACAUUCUGACAGAACUUAAAGAGAACACAGCACACGGUUUCAAGUAUUCAAGCACUGCUUUCUGGGAAAGUAAAAACUACCUAAAAACCAUUGAUGUAUUUUGACUGGACGAAAAAUAAAACAGAUGUAGCUACUUAGUUCUUUUGGACACAGCAUUUCUUUCCCAGAGUAAGACUGGCUCAGUCCAGCUUGAAAGCAGUGUGAAGAAUGAUUCUUCCUCUUAACUGUUAAGAAAAA
Equus caballus (horse) is the source of this 1511-nucleotide long non-coding RNA. RefSeq lists it as uncharacterized. Lineage: Eukaryota; Metazoa; Chordata; Mammalia; Perissodactyla; Equidae. The record is from RefSeq and is a predicted model, not a curated record.